CGGAACGUACCCAGUAGCGGGGGAUAACUACUCGAAAGAGUAGCUAAUACCGCAUACGCCCUUCGGGGGAAAGGGGGGGAUCUUCGGACCUCCCACUAUUGGAGCGGCUGAUAUCGGAUUAGCUAGUUGGUGAGGUAAAGGCUCGCCAAGGCGACGAUCCGUAGCUGGUUUGAGAGGACGACCAGCCACACUGGAACUGAGACACGGUCCAGACUCCUACGGGAGGCAGCAGUGGGGAAUUUUGGACAAUGGGGGAAACCCUGAUCCAGCCAUUCCGCGUGUGUGAAGAAGGCCUUCGGGUUGUAAAGCACUUUUGGCGGGAAAGAAACGGCGUCGACUAAUACUCGGCGUAACUGACGGUACCCGCAGAAUAAGCACCGGCUAACUACGUGCCAGCAGCCGCGGUAAUACGUAGGGUGCAAGCGUUAAUCGGAAUUACUGGGCGUAAAGCGUGCGCAGGCGGUUCGGAAAGAAAGAUGUGAAAUCCCAGGGCUCAACCUUGGAACUGCAUUUUUAACUACCGGACUAGAGUAUGUCAGAGGGGGGUGGAAUUCCACGU
This 559-nucleotide ribosomal RNA is filed under the name uncultured bacterium. RNAcentral describes it as "bacterial SSU rRNA". It matches the Rfam family "Bacterial small subunit ribosomal RNA", at positions 119 to 674 of the family's 1533-position model. The record is from RNAcentral.